This 740-nucleotide ribosomal RNA is filed under the name Mucoromycotina sp. enrichment culture clone Ac-C4. RNAcentral describes it as "eukaryotic LSU rRNA". It matches the Rfam family "Eukaryotic large subunit ribosomal RNA", at positions 76 to 657 of the family's 3401-position model. Lineage: Eukaryota; Fungi. The record is from RNAcentral.
UCCCUCAGUAACGGCGAGUGAAGCGGGAAGAGCUAAAUUUGAAAUCUGGGGGCUUCGCCCUCCGAAUUGUAGUUUAGAGAGGCGUUUUCGGUGGCGUCAUCGGUCCAAGUUCCUUGGAAUGGGACAUCAUAGAGGGUGAGAAUCCCGUUGAUGGCCGACAGAUGCGCUGCCUUGUGAUACGCUUUCGACGAGUCGGGUUGUUUGGGACUACAGCCCAAAAUGGGUGGUAAAUUUCAUCUAAAGCUAAAUACGGGCGAGAGACCGAUAGCGAACAAGUACCGUGAGGGAAAGAUGAAAAGCACUUUGAAAAGAAGGUCAAAUAGUACGUGAAAUUGUUAAAAGGGAAGCGCUUGGAACCAGUGAGUGCGCGCAGGGAAUUCAGGUUGCGGUCCGUAUGGACGCGUUCUGCGGAUGAGCCGAUCACCUCGGCCGUCGGGGGCGCGUCGCGUGCGGGCUGCGGCUGCACUUUCCUUGCGUGCGAGUCAGCAUCAGUGCACCGCGCCGGAGAUGGGUGCUGGGGAGGUGGCGUCGCCCUCGGGCAACGUGUUAUACCCCGGCAUCGUGUACGGCGUGGCGGACUGAGGAUGUCGCAGCGUGUCCACGGGACCCCUCGUUCAUGGCUGUGCGUGUGCUGUAGGCCUGCUUGCAGACUGCGGCGCACGGGCGGCUAUGUGCGGGGAUGAAUGUCACCCACCACGCUCCGGAUGCCUGGCGAAAUGGUUUCAAUCGGCCCGUCUUGA